Molecule: non-coding RNA, 1821 nt
Organism: Doryrhamphus excisus (bluestripe pipefish)
Lineage: Eukaryota; Metazoa; Chordata; Actinopteri; Syngnathiformes; Syngnathidae
Source: RefSeq, a predicted model, not a curated record
GACAUCUGAAUGACUUAUUAUUUUUCCUUAUUUGGGAAUAUAAUUUUCAUUUUUUUCCCAAUCCUAUGUUGUGAUUCCCCAUUUGAAUUCGUUGUAAUCGCAGUUACAAUAUUGUACUGUAUACAGAGCUGUAUAGAGUACGUACUUUGGCCAGCAGAUGGCGCCACAUACCUUGACGACGACAGGUCUUGUAAGACAGCCGAAAUAGUUAAUUUAUUAGAGUCGACAAAUAAUUUUCCAUGCCUUUACAUAAGAUGUUUGAAACUAUUUGAUGGUUUUAUUAAAAUAAUUUAAAAAUCGAACCACGACCCCAAUAGGCAAUACAUCGAAAUAUAAAUACAUAUUGCGAAAUCCAUUAAACCACCCCCACACCGUUAGUUUGCGAGACAGCAAAGUCUGUCGUGUCGUGCAACUGACACCUACAAACAAUACAGUCGACCCUCCGGUCAAGGAACCUCAUUAAAACAGAAAAAUUACAAGAAAAAGUCAUUUGCGGCUGAUGCUGAAGCAGCACGAUGGUGUCAGAGUGAGCCGAAAGAUGCUGUGCCCCUGACAAUAUCUUACCAGAUUUGGAGGACAACAAAGUCGUUGAGAUGAAUUCUUCCUUCCACAGGCUGAUCCUGAAGCUGAGUGAGCAGAAAGAUGAUAUACGUACCACUGACAGCUGAUACUGAAGCAGCACGUUGUCGUUGGAGUGAGUAGAAAGACGCUCUACCACUGACAAAUGUGAUCCCUGGUCUACGUGAUUUUACCAGUUGGAGGAGAACACAAAGCAGUUGAGAUGAUGCACGUUGGCGUUGGAGUGAGCAGAAAGAUGCUCUACCACUGACAUUUUGGAAGAAAACAAAGUCGCUGAGAUGAUGCUCCACUCAGUUCGUCCCUCCACAGGCUGAUACUGAAGCAGCACGUUGUCGUUGGAGUGAGUAGAAAGACGCUCUACCACUGACAAAUGUGAUCUUGGCCUACGUGAUCUUACCAAUUUGUGGAUAAAACAAAGUCGCUGAGAUGAUGCUCCACUCAGUUCAUCGUUGGAGUGAGUAGAAAGAUGCUCUACCACUGACAUGAACCGACGUGUACAUGUUCCUGUGAUGCUGAAGUGGCACGUUGGCGGUGGAAUGAACAGAAAGAUGCUGUACCACUGACAAACUGCUUCUGCCACCUCUCCGACUCCAACCACCUCUGUUGCCUCCAUCAUGAUGUUCGUGUUUCAGACCUCGAGGCCUGGGCCCAGAGCUGGGUGUCAUUGUGGAUAAGAGCAGCACACACAGGGCCAAUGUCAUCAGUCUGGACAUGAUUGUUUACCUGUAAGGGCAAAAUAUUAGAAACAUCUCUUCGUGCAGUGCAUCACAGCAAACUAUUACCCCAAUAACAGUAAGAUAAUGUUGCAUUAAUACCUCAGAACUGAACAUUAUUGUGGUUUCAACCAUCCGAUAAAUUUUGAGCUGCUAACUGAUUGUUCAUUUUAAUUCCAGAAUGUGAUCUUGGCCUACGUGAUCUUACCAGUUUGUCUAGAAAACAAAGAUGCUGAGAUGAUGCUCCACUCACUUCUUCCCUCCACACGUUGGUGUUGAGUGAGCAGAAAGAUGGUGUACCACUGACACUACGACUUUAUACCAGUUCUAAUGUUGACUUUAUCCUUGAAUUGGCCAAUGAUGAAACACAUUCGGUUUGCAGUUUGACUAAUGGAAUAUUAAUGUGUUGGACCCAAGCUGAGAUGCCAACAUCUCAUCGUUAUUAUGGACUGGCUCAGUAGCCAGCCCAUAGACUGCUACUUGCAGUAGCAGUCUAUGGGCUGGCUACUGAGCCAGCCCAUAUUGUUAU